GAGUGGCGGACGGGUGAGUAACGCGUGAGGAACCUGUCUUACACAGGGGGAUAACGCACCGAAAGGUGUGCUAAUACCGCAUAAGACCACGCUACCGCAUGGUAGAGGGGUCAAAGGAGCGAUCCGGUGUAAGGUGGCCUCGCGUCCCAUUAGGCAGUUGGCGGGGUAACGGGCCCACCAAACCGACGAUGGGUAGCCGACCUGAGAGGGUGAUCGGCCACAUUGGAACUGAGAGACGGUCCAAACUCCUACGGGAGGCAGCAGUGGGGAAUAUUGGGCAAUGGGCGGCAAGCCUCGACCCAGCAACGCCGCGUGAGGGAAGGAAGGUUUUCGGUAUUGUAAACCUCUGUCCUCAAUGAAAAGACAAGAGAUGGUAAUUGAGGAGGAAGCCCCGGCUAACUACGUGCCAGCCGCUGC
This 417-nucleotide ribosomal RNA is filed under the name uncultured bacterium. Its description in RNAcentral is "bacterial SSU rRNA". It matches the Rfam family "Bacterial small subunit ribosomal RNA", at positions 93 to 518 of the family's 1533-position model. The record is from RNAcentral.